This is a long non-coding RNA of Vigna angularis (adzuki bean), 1916 nucleotides long. RefSeq lists it as uncharacterized. NCBI's taxonomy places the organism in Eukaryota, Viridiplantae, Streptophyta, Magnoliopsida, Fabales, Fabaceae. The record is from RefSeq and is a predicted model, not a curated record. The transcript is spliced from 3 exons.
UGGGGGUGCAGGUGUCGACAGGAGAGAUGCACGUUCGUGUGGACGUGAGAAGAACAAAAUGGGUUUUUCGAAAAACUCUUCUACUCUCCUGCACACACCUUCUUCUUACCAUGCUCAGACCUUCCAUUUCUCCUCCUUCUCUCUAGAAAACCUUUUCUUCUCUCUACUGUAACUCAACUUCUUUUUCUCCGAUCAACUUUCAGAGACCGUAGAAGAGAUCCCGACGUCCUAAGCUUUCCUUUAAACCGAACAAGUUCACGUUUGAAGCUGAUUUGAGUUGGAAGAGUUAAGUGACCAUUGAGGGUAGAUAAACGUUAGUUGGACGAGCCACAAAUCUUGCGUUUAGGACAAGUUGCUCACAAAUCCAGCACACGGCCUAAGGGAAAUUGAGUUUGGAAUGCUGCUGCCACAUCAAGCUCCAAGUGUCACGGCCUCCACCAUUUAUUUCUCCAACAAAGCUGCACUCCAAGCACAUGAUUUCUUCUUAGUACAAUAUGACUUGGACAACAUUAGAGUAUGGAGAGAGGAGUGGAAGUGACAUGGGAUGGACUGCACAUCACGGCAUUGUGGGGGACACCAUGUCCCACACACACUCAUGGCUAUAGCAAGGAAGUGGGAGACACCAUCACGGCACAUGGAUAGCUUGCAAAUUUGAAGUGGAAUUGGUGUGAUAAAUGUGCAAAAGAAAGAAACGUUGAAGCAAAAGAGAGUAUUGUCACAUGUUGUCACCAAACGGACACAACUCUUGGAAAAAUGGACAGCACCAUGCCUUCUUUCUUUUAAAGUAUUUGGUGCAGCAGAGUUGCAUGGAGAGCCCAAGUGUCACGGCCUUACACAACACACAUGGCUGUACAUGAAUGGGAGGAAUGCAUUUUUUUAAUUAGAAGAAGAAGAGCACACGGUCAUGAUCAAGAAAAAUUUGAUAUGGAAGAGUGUCUAGUCCAACCGUGACUUUGGAGGAAGAAAAAUAAACAAAGGAAGUGUGGCAUUUGAAUAAAAAUUGGAGGAGCUUCAUGUGAUGAAGAGGAAGCACGGCAUGGAAGAAGAGUGCAGCAUGGAUGAAUAAAAAAAUAGGAGUGCAGCAUGCGCACUAGGAGGAAGCAUAUGGUGAGUGCUGAAUUGUAAUCCACAAAUGUUUUCAAAUUAUUUCUGGAAGCUUGAACGAAGCAAGUGUCAUGCCACGGCUUGCAUUCUUUCAUCCAACCAUUAACACUUACACAUGAAGAAAGUGGGGAGCAAGAUUUUCAAUUGAAUAUUAAGAAGCAAGGAGAAGGUAUGCACGUUCAUAAUGAAAGGAAGAAAAUUUAGAGUAUUCAAUUGGUGUAGUGCACAUGCCACGGCUGCACAUCAUAGUGGAGAGCACUCCUUGUUUUGUUGUGAUUGAAGAAGAGUUGGAAGAAUUUGCUGGAAGGAGCACACGGCCAGGGCAGCCAACACUUGGAAGAAUCUCCUUUCUCUUUUGGAAGUGGAGACAACAAUAAUGAAAAAGAAGGGACCACCAACACAUCUUCAUCUCACGUUUAUUUUCUAGCUGCUGCAAAAAAAAGGGAUUAUAAAUUUUUCACAGUUCGGAGUUUUUAUUGACCAGAGGACAGAUUCGGUUAAGAGUUUUUGGAAGGGAGAAAAAAAAAACCGUGAGCUAGAGAUGGUUCUGAGUUUUUGGACGUGAGGCAGAUAGGAGAGUUUGGAGAGGAAGGAGGCCGAGAGGUUCCUAGUUUGGAAGGAGGCCGUGAGAUCAUUGGAGCUGGAGGAAAGAAACCGUCACUGUUGGAAGGAAUGGAGGAUGAUCUUGCUUGAAGUUCUUCUUGCCUUCUCAUUUGGUUUUGUACACCUUUCCAUUUAAGUUUUUGUUCAUCUACUGUUAUAUAUUCUGUUUGUGAAAGUUGUUAUUGUAAUUUGAGAGUUUUGUAGUUUUA